CCUACGGGGCGCAGCAGUGGGGAAUAUUGGGCAAUGGGGGGAACCCUGAUGCAGCGACGCCGCGUGAGUGAAGAAGGUCUUCGGAUCGUAAAACUCUGUCCCAUGGGAAGAAGAAGACGGUACCAUGGGAGGAAGCCCCGGCUAACUACGUGCCAGCAGCCGCGGUAACACGUAGGGGGCGAGCGUUGUCCGGAAUCACUGGGCGUAAAGGGUGCGUAGGCGGCCAGUUAAGUUGGAUGUGAAAGGUCCCGGCUCAACCGGGGAUGUGCAUUCAAAACUGGUUGGCUUGAGUGCAGGAGAGGAAAGCGGAAUUCCCGGUGUAGCGGUGAAAUGCGUAGAUAUUAUGAGGAACACCAGUGGCAAAGGCGGCCUGCUGGACAUCAACUGACGCUGAUGCGCGAAAGCGCGGGGAGCAAACAGGAUUAGAUACCCGAGUAGUC
RNAcentral lists this ribosomal RNA (440 nucleotides) under uncultured bacterium. RNAcentral describes it as "bacterial SSU rRNA". It matches the Rfam family "Bacterial small subunit ribosomal RNA", at positions 338 to 795 of the family's 1533-position model. The record is from RNAcentral.